Molecule: long non-coding RNA, 201 nt
Filed under: Elaeis guineensis (African oil palm)
Lineage: Eukaryota; Viridiplantae; Streptophyta; Magnoliopsida; Arecales; Arecaceae
Description: long non-coding RNA (EGUI_LNC038273)
Source: RNAcentral
UCUAAUGGAGCCUUACAAGCAUGUCAAAAGAUGGUUCUUCAAUGAAAAUGGUGUAAGUGAUCUUUAGAUCUGAGAUCAUCAUGGUUUCUUAUAUAUGUGAAUCUAUACUUUGGUUUAUACCCUAGCAUGACUCUCUGAGAUAUGUAUGGAAUAUUUUAGAUAUGGUGAAGUAUGUGUAUGGAGGUUGUAAAUAGUCAACAA